Non-coding RNA from Xyrichtys novacula (pearly razorfish), 13232 nucleotides. The record is from the annotation of a GenBank genome assembly. Lineage: Eukaryota; Metazoa; Chordata; Actinopteri; Labriformes; Labridae.
CUGCAAAGCUCAAACACUCAUCUUUGGGUAAGUGAUACAUAAUUUUCUCUUCUGUUCAUUUAUAACUCUGGAUGUCUUUGGAUUUGUCACAUCUUGAAUUUUUUUUCCCUCUGUGCUGGAUCAGACCUGAUUUUCCUCAUGAUGGUGAUGUCGGCUUUGUGAUGGAGCUAAGUCCCUUGUGGUUAACGAGCUGGUGUUACAUGUUUUUUAUGACUAUAGGUGCAAAAUGUACAACUGAUUGGUCCUUAAAGACAUAUUUUUAUUCUCUUAAUUGUGCUUUUUAAGGUAGUAGCUACCAGAGAUUUCUACUCAAUAUUGGGUGAAAUUCAAGCUGAGCACCUGUGACCUAUUUUUCCACUCAUUUUUACCUAGUUCAAAUCACAUUUAUACCAUCACUGUGUCAACUGUUUCAUAUUAGUUUAGUAAUUUUGAUUGUUUAUUGAUUUUAAUUCUGACAGGAUAUGGUUCAAUGAGACUUUAAUUCACUUAAGUUUUUUUUACCUCGAUAGGAUGUGGUCCAAACAAAGACCUAAUAUUUUAUUUUAGAUUUAAGGGUUUAUAAAAACGUACCCAUAUGGGCUGUGUGGCAUCAAAAAGAUAAUUCUCCCUAAUCAAUAGGGAAACAUUUUCAGGGGUUUGUGUAAAUGAACACUCAAGUACUCUCGCUGUACACCUUUAUCCAAACUCCAAGUAGAGUAUGCACCAACCACACCAAGGUUAAGCAGCCAUCUUAUGAAACAAGAGGGUUAACUUUAACAUAAAUCUUUGUAACCAGUUGCACUCCUGGGAAGAGGAGUCUGGUGGGUAAAAAGAGGUCAUGGUCAAAAAAUUAAAACUGCAACUGUGGGUUGUGAUCAUAGACUGUAUAUUGAAUGGACACCAUCUGCCUUGUCACCAGGUGAAGCCACCACAAGAACAGCACCCUCUGGUGACGGGCUUCAGUAUAGGUCAUUAAUCCCGCCUCCUCCAGCAAUCCCUAUGGAGCUGUGGACAAACUUUAGAAAUUAAUUACACAGAAUAUACAUUUUUUCUCCCCCCUGCUCGCGAUGUUGACAUGUAGUUGCUGUUAGACUGGUUUGUGCUCAAGUCCUCUUUUUUCUGUACAGCUCAAUUUUUAAAAGUUAUUAGGGGAUUCAUGUUUUCUAUGAUUGGCACUUGAUACAGCCUAUGGGCGUACAAAGAUUACAUAGCUCACCCGGGGAAUACGCAGUUUAAGCCGAGCGUCAUCACAGCGAUUCUCUGCGACUUUCCUGCUGAAGGCGUACAAUGCUAUUGGGCAAGCGAUGGUUCCAGGUAGUGGAGAAAACCCUGGAAUUACCACCAGCAAUUCGGCUUCAAAUUAGUAUAAUGACAUAAGGCGGAACCCAGUUGUCCAUAGUACAUAUAGUCUAUGGUUGUGAUACAUGAAAACAUCUCGAUUUGACUUGGCAAAACAACUUGAAAACAGUGACCUGCUCAGAUUUUUAUCAAAGCCACUGUCAGUAGUGAUUUGCACACACAUGUUGAGUGCAAACAAGAAUAUGGAAAGAAAAUGAGGAACUAAAAAGUGAUCAAUACAAAGAUUUAGCAGUGCUGCUGCUCUUAUGUCUUCAGUUGCAUGCUUGUGUUCAAACAAAAUGGUAUUUUUAGUUCAUGCAUAUUCAUAAUAUGAGCAAACCUGUUAAUUUUUGUAGCUUUCUUAAAGUGGUUGCCAUGCUGAUGUGCUAAUGUUUCAUGCUUAUGUUUGACAGUAAGCGUAAACACUUGAAGACCAAAGGUUGUCAUUAGUGGGUUUUUUUUUUUUCCCCGUGCACGACUAAAAUUUUCUAGAGGUCUCAGGAGCUCUGCCCCUGGAGUAUUCAAAAGUUGCAUGCUCACACUUUUCUUACAGCAUGAAGUGAAGGUGUGAAGUCUCCAGAGAUAGUACUGCAGUAGCAUGCUGCAACAAACAUGUACAUCAGUGAUUCCAAUCCAGGUUUAUUGAUAUAGCAUAUUUAAAUACAACAAAGCGCUGACCAAAGUGCUGUACAGUAAAAUUAAAAACAAAAUAAAAAGAACCAGACAAUUAACAUAAACAAUAAAACAAGACACAUGAACACAUUAAAAACAGGUGGACAUAGUGAUUCAUCCAAACAGACUGAUGUGCCUUUUUCUAAGCUGUCUUUGUCUAUGAAAAUGAUUCUUCUUUGGCAAUCGUGUUCACCCUGGUAGUUUUGCUCUUUCCGGUUCACACAAAAUAAUUUGUCAUGACCUCCACUUGUGUUUUUGGUGAAUUUCCCCUAUGUUUUCCUGCUGCGGAUAACUUCAUUUUGACUUCAUGCCAAAAUUGAACUUUAGUGGUUGGCAGGUUAUAUCAGGGUGACAAUUUUAGCAAUUUGCAUUCACUGUACAGCUCACCCAGAAAUUUCCAGGGGGGGGAUUCUGGGAGUAUUGUGCAAAUGUGAAUACAUGUGAUUCAAUUAGCUUCUGAGCUGUGGCGAAGUAAACUCAAGACUGUAACCUAAAAGGCGCACUGGAUUAUACGGCACACUGUGAAUUAAUGUGUCUAUGUUUCACGUAAGGCGCAACGGAUAGUACGGCGCAUCAAGUAUUGAUUGGUUAAUUGUUGCUAGCGUGUCCUCCGGGCCUGGGCUGCCUUACAUAAAUGCACUUCUAGUUUAGACAUUACAGUCAGGCAGCCUUGUAGACUGCUCAGGGGUCCUGUUACGGGGCCGAUCAGGUAGCGAGUGACACAACGUAACAUAAUGCUCCGAAUGUCCACUGAGCAGUUUUGUUGCUUACCAAAGUUGUACUUACACAUUUCGACAGAUUUUUGAGGAGCGCAUUGUACCACAUAAAAUUGGUCAGUGAGCACAACAAGUUAUCAUACAUAAGGCGUGCUGGAUUAAAAGGCACAUGGUCCAUUUUUUGGAAAUUGAAGGAUUUUAAGUGCGGUUAUAGUCCGAACAAUACGGUACUCAUUUAGACCUGCCUUUCUUUAAUCUGUCUGUGCCUGCUUUUGUGCCUAUUUUGCAUUUUUAUUGCAACAAAUUUUGUGAUAUUUCUUCUUGAAUGAUAAAUUUUUACAAACUUGCUGUCAUUCACAGUAUUUUAAUGUUUUAAAGGAAAAAAUGCUCUGAGCAGUGUGUGUAACCUGCUCAUUAGUGUUUGAAUGGAUUAUAUACAGUAUGGUAAAAUAGUUUACAUCAGGUAUCAUUAUAUCGGAGUGCUUAGUGACAUAUUAGUGAGUUGCUUGGCUAGCAAAUUGCACCACUAAUUUGCUCCAGCACUUAAAUGUGUCUGCUUGUGUGUAUGUGUGUAUGUGUGCAUGCACAUGUGUACUCUCACAGACACACACACGUACUCUACAGAGCUCGGUGCAGGACUGAACAGUGAUGGAUUGGGUCCCACAGGCCUCUGGUGUGUUUAUUUCCAGAGUCCAGCCGGUGGCUCAGGUCAUUCCAGGGAUCAAAGGCUACGACUGGAUCACAGCAGCUUCCCUCCCUCUGGUCCAGGGACUUACCCUUCACCCCGCCCCUCUCCAACCACCCCGCCUCUCCAGAUGAAGACGGAUUGUAAGUUUUGUGCUCAGGUUUGACAGCCUCUUCAUUUACUUCUUUCUGAUAGAAGACACCCUCCUGUACUCGCUGCCAGAGGCAAUAUAUUUGACUGUCAUUUCAAUUCUGAUUUUUUGCUCGUGUUAUCAUCAUGUCAAACUCUCCUCAGAGACGGAAGAUUAUCUAGCAGCUGUAAGGAUGGACAUGGUGAAAUCAUUACUCGAAUUAAGUGCGAUGUAGUUUGAGUGCAGUUAACAGAACAAACAAACUGAAAACAAAACAAACAAACUGGAGUUGCUUAUUCAAGCGAAAGUGGUGGUUUAUUCCUUUAAAUACGUGUCCAUUUACCUUUGAAAGACCUCAUCUUAAUUUUGAAAUAAUUCCUAUUAUCAAUCAAUCAAUCUAUGUUUACUGUGUUUGUGAUCUAAUCCUAAAUGUAAACUGAUAAACAUACUGCAAAUAUAACCUGGUUUAUUUUCAGUGAUAAAGCUAGCAGGCCAAUGGAACAUCCUUCCUAAACACAUAAAAUGUAAUAUCUUAAUAUCUUCUUUAGAUUUAAUUAUAAAACAGCAUGAGACUCAGCAGCCCCUCUCAGGAACUUUCCCAUCAGUCCCCUGCUUUUCACAGUCUGGUUCCCAUCUUACUGAGUGGAAUAUGUGAGGGGUUAGAUACUGGGGAUAAGCUCCCCUGGCUAAAACUCCAUGAAAUGGAGCAAUGGGAUUAUGGGGUCCAUGCACAAGUCCUAAGCAAUCCUCUGUGAAACAGAUUGCCCUUGUUGAGCUAUAGUUCUAAAAAGUGCUGUUUAGGGCUUUCGGAGAGGGCCUUCCAUUCUGGAUCUGAAUAUUUUAAAUACUGAGUUAAAUAGUUCUUAUCCAAUACUUGUAUUUGUUGAGAUAAUAGACUAAAUCUUUUCUUUAUGUCUACAAAAAUGAUUAGAGACUUUCACUCAAAGAUGUCUUCAGUUUAUACCAUUUAACCAAGCCUAUCUAGCCUUGUUGAAAAAUCACAUAUAAUCUAAAUUGUACUCAGAAUAAUGUGAUGAUAACCCCAGAUUCAAAACAGGUGAGACACUUUAAAAAUGCUGACGUAAACAGAUUGUGAUUGUUUGAAAAUCAUUUAAAUCUUAUAUUUAAUUGAAAUUUGUGCACAGACGACAUAUCAAAUGUUGAAACGGAAAAAAAAAAUGUGUAACUGUUUCACGAAAUUUUUUUGGCUUACUCCAAAACUGAUGCUAGCAACACACUCAAAAUAGUUCAGACAUACAGGGACAACAAAACGCUGAAAAAGCGGUGUUAAAAAAAAUAAAAAGAAAGAAAAAGACAUGGAGGAAAAUCCCAAACUAAUGAGGAUAAUUUGCAACAGGUUGGUAAAAUGCUUGAGUAUAAAAAGGGAAAUUUAGAGCGGCAGAAAUGCUCAAAAGUGAAGCUAGGAAGAGGUUCACCACUUUGAGAGACACUGUAUGAGAAUAGUUCAUUAAUCUUAGAAUAAUACUCCUCAGCGCAAAAUUGAAAAGAAUUUCAAAAUGUCCUUAUCUUUAUUAUAAUUAAUAUCAUUAGAGGAUUGACAGAAUCUGGGGAAAUCAUUGUACAACAGAGACAAGGCCAGUUACAGAUACUGGAUGACCAUAUUGUGCGGAACUGCAUUAAAGACAGACAUGACUCUGAAGUGGAACUCACUGCACAGGCUUAAAAUCACCUCCAGAAACCAGUCUGUGAACACAGUUUGUUGGUGCUUCCAUUAAUGCAGGUUAAAAGUGGACCAUUCUGAGAGGAAAGCAUGUAUAAACAUGAUCACGGCAACAUUCUCCGCUGGGUUCAUUUAAGGUGGACUGAAGAAAAGUAGAAAACUGUUCUGGGAUCGAAAAGUCCACAUUUGACAUUAUUACUGAAUGCUGUAGUCACUGUAAAAAGGAGCGGAACCACACACUCUGGUUUUAACAGACGAUCAGGAAGCCUGUAUCUUGGAUGAUAUGUUGAUACAUACUGUAAGUGCUCAUGGCAUGUGUCGUCUAAACAUCUGGAAGGGUCCAUUAAUCCUGAACAAUAUCUACAGAUUUUAAAGCAACAUAUGGUGCUCUCCAGAAAAUACUCUUUUCAGGAAACAAGCCAAAGACAAACCACAUUCUGCACAUGUGACAACUGCAUGGCUCUGUGGUAGAAACGUCCCAGUAAUAAACUGAUUCUGCUACAGUCCUGAUAUUUCACCCAUGAAAACAUGAAAUAUGAAGCAAAAACACACGAGGUCCUGAACUAUUGAGUGACUGGAAUUUUGUUAAUUUAGUAUUGCAUUAAAUCAAUUAACAAGCCAUCAAGUUCUUGUUUUUUGCGUAAUCUUUACUCUUUUUUUUACAAUUUCCACAGUAUCCCAGCUCUUUAAAUCAUCAGAUUGAAAACUGUCAAACUAUCAAAUAUAAAAAAAAAUAUCUUGGUAACUUCACUUUUACCAAACAACAAAUACAUUUCCCAUCCAAAAGCCAAUAAACUGGCUACAACUCACUCUUUCUGUGGUGAUGAAAUCUGCAUGAUGAUGGAAGCGAAUAGAGAGUGAAGACUGGUCGUGAUUCUGGUGUAAUUGAUCAGUUUUCCGCCAGUCUUCUCUUGUAUUUCCCUUUUUUAGUUUAAAUAAUAAUCGUACAAUUUUAAAAAUUAGGUGUCAUGCAUUGGGAUAAGAACAGCACAGUGAUUAAAAGAACUACAAGAAUGACUUUAUAGUAUUAGGUAACAACAGACAUAUAAAGAAAAUCUUGCUAAUGAUUUCUGUACAUUCUCCAAUAGAUAAACCUUAUAGAAGGGAGAAGCGGGCAGGCAAAUCAAGCCCACUUUGAGUAUGUGUUGGACAGGCUGGGCACUUUUGACAGAGGUCUUCUUCUAAUGUUAAACAGUCAUUUGUGUCAGCAGAUGAUCUAUAACUCGUCCUAUCAGUGCCCUCUUCACAGCGUGGCGCUGAAACAAUCUCCAAGCCAAACUGCCCUCCUCUCCCUCAGCCCUGCUAUCUUUAUAUUGAAAUAUUGUGAUUAUUCCCCUGGUUCAGGAGAGGCUUGCUAUAAUCGCCAGACAAAUGAUGUGGAAAAGCAAUAAAAAGCUGCUCCCAAGAGACUCUUCUAGCUGGCCGAGUGACACAGCCAUGAGGGAUACGAGCUGCUGAUGUGUCUAUGGAGAGUGAUCUGGGUUGUAGCAAAGCAGUGCCUCAGAGCCAUAGAUCUGCUCUGCUUAAAGGGGAUUUGACUAAACAAAUGGCAGCAUAUGGUAGAUGAGAGAGAGGAGGCGAGUGGAGAAAGGGAGAGGUGGCAUUGUUUUCAGAGAGAAAGGACGGGGGUUGCAGUGAAGGGGGGUCCCGUGUCUCUCCUCCCCUCUUCAAUCUUUCAUUAUGUUGUCACACUCUAGCUGCGUGCUUCCAGUAACACUUUAAUUAGCCUCCAUGAGUUUAAUUGUGCGUGUAUGUCUGCCAGCUUGUUUUGCUGCGUAAAUCUGUCUUGUUUGUUUUUACCCACUCUGAGAAUCAGUGCUGCUGCAGGAAACACUGCACACCUCCACAUUAACUCCUAAUUUUUUACUCCCAUUCUUUUAUUUCUAUUCAAAUGAGAUUUCUGCACAUGGCUCUUUCAGGAGGAUAUAUCCUGCAGCUUCACGGUAACAUUAUGUCUCCUAGAUGCUCGGGAGAAAUUCAGUGAUAUUUUGGAUGUUUUAAAUAAAUCCACCCCCUAAUGAUAUGUCACUUUGUGGACAAAGUUUUUUAGGCUGGUAAGAGUUACUUUAAAAGUUUAUACAUUUUUUCAUAAACUUUUACCAGUUUUAUCUGCUUGCCUUCACCCUACCUGACACCUGUUUUCCCUGUCUCCAAGACUUACCUGCAUCCAGCUCCACCACCUCCUCCUCACACCAACCUCUCCCUCUGCACUCUAGGACCCUUACCAUCUUUCCUGUAACCUUGCAUCCUCAUUAAUGGUACGUUUUUGAAAACAAGACCUGUGUAAGUCUGCUUUUAAGUUCUGCCAUAAAUCCUAACAGUGGUUUUGAUUUCAUUUGCAUGUUUUUGUGUAUUGUUCUAAAUAAAAGACUGACACAGCUGAUUAUAAACAAAAAGUCAAAAUGGUACAAAUAAAGGUGAUUUAAUGAGAUAAUGACAAACUCUGUGAAGGAGGUAAGCAAUGAGAAAAAAAAUCCUGUUUCCUUCACAGUAUUUUUUUUAUCCCAUGACAUUUCAACACCUUGGUUUGUUGCCACUGUGAUGGAAAACAACACCACUGCACUUUGAAUCACACAUUUAUUUACCAGGUGGUUUUAUUCGACAAAUCAAAAUGUUAAAUGGAUUAUGUUUUAGUUGUGGAUUCUCCUGUCUUUGAUCGCUCAAAGCACUUUUAAAUUACAUGUCACGUUCACCUUUACACAUCGUAUUCAUACACUGAUGGCAAAGGCUGGUAUAUAUAGAGUCCAUCAGUUUUUGACUAUUUCCAUUCACACACUACUGGGUGGGGCUGGGUAGGGCCAAGUGACUAACCCACAGACACUUGGACGGCCAAAGGAUCAAACCCUUGAUCUUCUGACUGGGAGAUGACUGACUCUACUAUUAAGCUAAAGCUGCCCCAAAAGUAAAAUGCACUUUGCCAAAAGCCUUGCAGUCUAGGCGCACCCCUUACCCCCCUGCCUGCACAAGGAGUCCGGGUUCAAUUUCACCCUGUGGAUCCUAUCCAUCCCUGCUCUCUUCCCCCUGUUUUCUGCUUUAUCCACUGACGCAUACCUGUCAAUAAAGGCCAAAAUUACAUCUAAAAAAAGACAUGAAUAUAUAUGUACUUUAUGUCAACUGGAAUUGAAUCAACCAAGUACUUCUUGGCAGUUUAAGCUGUAACGAAACACUCAGGUUCUGCUUGAUGUCAGUUGGAGACUGUUUCUCAAAAGCUGGGAGAAUAAACACGAUGGAUUUGUUUUACAGCGACAGCGCCUGUUUGAAAUGGAAAAAAACAAACAAAAACUUCACUGGAAUUCCUAAAAAAAAAAGAAAAACCAAGAUGGAUGCCUCGUGUUCUAACAUUUAGCCGUUGUUAGCUGUUGUUGGCUGUUUUCUGCUAUACCAGUUGAAAACAACACAUAACAGUAUUUUACUCAUACUUAGUACUGUGUCUGCAGUUAGACGUUGGGCAGUACUACAUAUACUACUUCGUUAAUUUCACAAAAACAAACAGAAGUGCUAAUAAAUAAAACAUUAAGAGAGCUUUCACUGUUACUCUUGGUUUCUGAUGCAUGGUGCCAUCUUGGAUGAUAACACUGCAAUCAAGUCAGGGUGGGUGAGGGUCAUCCGACUUUCUGAGUCAGCAAUCCCACUUCAGAGGGGCGUUACAGAUAAAUUAACCAACUAGGAACUUAAACAUUCGGACUUCCCAGAACAACUGGAAAGCAGCAUUAGUCUUGAUAGGCUGUUAACUCUGGGGACUCAGCAAUUUGACCACUAUGGGAAAAUUGAAAUUCUACACCGACACCAGAUAAAAAUCUGAUUAUCAAAAAAAUAACCAUACCAACCAAAUUAACCAAAUUACCGUAAAAGGAAGUCCUGGAUAUGUGUGGGCUUAUGCUGCGUUCAAAUUAGCUCGGAAGUCAGAUGUCCGAACUGGGAAUGAGGUCACACCCAAGUUACCAGCAUUUCAGUCACAAAGUCGGAAAAAAGCAAAAUCGUAAAGAUGGCUACAUUUCAAAGAUGUAGCCAUCUUGUUUCCGCCUCCGAUUUUGCUUUUUUAUGACCUGGAGACUGAAAUGCUGGUAACUCGGCUUUGACGUUAUUCCCAGCUCGGACAUCUGACUUCCAAGGUACUUGAACACAGCAUUAUAUAGGAUGCCUUUGUCAGGAUGAGUCAUGGUUGGUAAAAACUUUACAAAAAGUUAGGUGUAACAUUUUGAAUAAAAUGUGGUGCAGCAUGACUGGCUUUAUUUUCAGUUCAAGCUAGGUGGAGCAUUAAUUACUAAGCUAAACAUGAGUGGCAGUUCAUAUCAGCAUAUAAGUGGAGCGACAAAGUGCAAAAAAAGGAAAAAGGAGAGCAAGGAAAAGCCAGAUUACCAAAAUUAGACUCAUAUUUUGUUUGUGCUCUUGGACAUGAACCUCAGAUGAGUCAGUUCAGCGCCACAGAUACCAACUCAAUACCUUUGAAUUUGUUGUUUUGUUUUAUUAUAAGGAGCCAGGUCUGAUGUUUAUGUUGUUCUCUUGUUUGUUAGACUUUAUGUCUGUUUAACUGACUUCAAAAUGACGUAGCCAUAAGUUGCAGACAUAUGUAUAUAAGUGAUACUAUCAUGAGCCAAAUUGGGUUCAAAGGGCCUGAUCAUGUGCCCCGCCCCUGGCCCGGCACUGAUUUGUUCCGCUAGUGCAGAAAAUGUGUUCCUGGUUAAACAAAAUAAAAAAAACUGAAAACAAAAAUAAAAUACUCUUAGCUGACUUCCAGACUGUCCUCAAACAUCCUAGAAAAAAAAACAAAAAAAAAAAAAAAAAACAAUCAAAGCAGCUCCGGAAGUCUCCACUGUUUUUUUUCCCGUCUUUAUUCUUUGUGGCGAAACAAGGAGCAGGCAGUUUGCUGGCAGUAGGAGGUUUAGCAGCCUGGAGCUAACGGGAGCAUCAAACCACGGCUGUGUGUUUCCAUCUGCGUUCGUGUGUGUGUGUAUGUGCGUGCGUGUGCGUGUGUCUGGGGCUGCUGUUGUUGCUGCUGCUGCUGCGGCUGCUGCUACCACUUGCCUCCGUCUCCUCCCGUCUCUGGCCUAAUCAACAAAACAGCCUCAGCUGCCCCUUCGGAUCCCCUGCCAGGGUCCCUAUCAUCCUCUGAUCAAAUAUUAAUGUGUGAUACUGAGCUUGCUCACUAAUCCAAAGCCAAUUAAUAUUAUCUGUCAAUUAUUUACAGAUCCUGAGGUGCGGAGGCAGAUCCCCGAGGACUACAUCGGCCAGGUUCAGAAUACGAAAUUGAGCCCCCCCCUCAACACGCACACACACACACACACCUUGGCCCCUUUAUUCUUUCUUCCUCUCUCCCCCCCUUUCUGCAUUUUCCUCUCUUUUUUCCUCUCUUUUCAUCCCCUCCUUCCUUUUUUGUUUAUGUGUGUCUUUUAAAGCCUAAAUGGUUGUCUUUUCAGCAGUUCAGGGCAAGCGGCGCAGGAUGCUGCUCGGGCAUUAGCAUUGCUGAUAUAUCUGACAUAGGAGGAUGUGUGGGGGGAUUUUCUCUCUGCUAGGGCUUUGUGUCUGAAUCUCACUCAUACAGUGCAGUCAGGGAAUACUGUUAUUAGUUUUUAUCACUGAUGCGCAACAACAUGACAUAUGUUUCAAAUCCCUGCGCCUAGUGAUUCGGAUUGUUAGCUGCGAUCACUUCCAUUGUUAUUCCGAUAGACGCUGAAUUUGCUUUCGCUUUACAUUUUCAUUCUUGGAGGCAGCCUUGCAAGGGUUAGCGCGGGUUGACUAACACACACAUACACACAGAGAGUGACACACUCCAGUAAUCAGUCAUCACUGUUUAUCACAGGCUGUUUUUGUCCUUUACUUUCUGUCUCACUUAUUUGAUGGCUGAGAGAAGCGGCGGCUCGGUGGUAAUGGAGUUUUCACCCUCAGAAGUCUUUAUUCCACACAGAACAGAGACUCGGCUGCAGCCUCGGCCUCUUGUAGCUCAUGGAGCUGUCUGUGCAGGGGGUGGUGGGUGGGCCCGUGGGGGUCUUGGGUGGGGGGGGUGGAGGGGGGUUGGAGGGGCUGGAGCUGGAGCUGGUGGUGGUGGUGUUUUGGGCGGGGGUGGAGAAAAGACCGGCAUCUGAGAGGGAAUAAUGACGGCCGGUGGUUUGGAUCCCUUGAGCCACAAAGCUAGCUCUUCUCCCUCUACAGAAGGGGAGAAUAAAGGCCGCAGAAGAAAGGCAGGAUGAAAGCAGGGGGAGUCGUUUCUGACAGCAAAUUUGUGCUGCAACUAAACUCCUACCACCUCCCAUAAUGCACUUUGACCUGCCAGGACCCCUAAUUGGCUGGCUAUGGGAGGAGUUGCUAAAUAUCAAGACAUCAGUCCACUUCUAUGUCUUCCAAUUUCCCAAACUAGUCGGCCCUGGGAUGUGAUGCGCAUGUGGUGUUUGUCGGCUCACUUGUACCAUAUAUGUUUCACUAACUAGCUCUUCUACUUUCAGUUCUGCCUUCAUCACAUCUUUGUCCGCUGGUCUUUCUAAUAAGGAGAGAUGAGUUGUUUUGCCAGUGUUAUUCCCCCCCACCAAAUGUGAGCGGGAAAGAUGGCUUCCUCUCGUUAGCUGUGCCUUCACUGCUCAGAUCUCACCGUUUGUGGGAGCAGAGUAAUCUGAUAUGUAAAUAUAGUGUUUGAUCCAAAGCGAUAGUCUAACGAGCAAAAAUCUCUACUUUUCCCCGCCUUUCCUGCACUAGUAAUUAAAACAAAGCCUGUUUGGGCUUUUCUCCUCCAUCUCCCGUCUUUUCUGUCUGUCUCUUCCUCGUCUUUCCGCCUCACUUUCCUCUCCUCUCACUCUCAUGUUUUCUGCCUCUCUGUGUCUCCUCUUUGACACAAGCGCAGCGCAGUCUUGAUUUUUACACGUUUCAUCCUUUACGUUAGGCAGCUGCUGCAUAUUUUGUCUGAGCUGUUGCUGUGAAGUACGUUUGUCAUAUUGGAAACGCGAUGUUUGAAGCCGGGCUCUUUUGAAGUGGCUGAUGUGGGGCUGUUUUAACUGGAAGGCAAAGGGACGGCGCUCGCCCGUAAUGGGGGAGUAUUCAAAUGACUGACCUCUAGAUGACAGACCCAACCAACUGCGCUAUGAAUAAACAGCAGCUUGAUGUGGUGCUUUACACUGCGCUUUGUUCAGGUGUUGAUAUCAUGUUCCUAUCAUACUGCCUGCUAAAUGACUGAAGGUCACUGGUGUCUGUGCAUAGCCCUGAGAUCCAUUUAGCUAAGAGCUCAACAGUGAAAAGACUGUGAGUGGGAGCACAGAGCCAAUCCCCCUGGCGAGGCGUGUGUAUGUGUGUGUCUUAUAGUGUGGAAACGAUGAUGAGCAGGUUGUCAAUGAGUCCUAAAACCCAUAUGAUGAUAAUUUGCUUAAUAUGUAAGAUUAGUAAUAAAGAAUGAUUCACUUAUCCCAGAGCUGGCAUACAAACGGCACAUUAAAACAAGGCUUCAACCAAAGGAGGGUGAGGGGGGCACUUAUCAUUGAAAGCUUUUAAUCAGGCUUUUCAUAUUGGCCAUUUAUAUCUCUUCACUAUAUAAAGGCUGACGUACAACUGAAUACCACUUUUAUUUCAGCUCAAAGAUUCAGAAUGCUCUUUUCUGAUUUAUUUUUCAAUCAUGGUUUGGACUCUUCGUUUUUUUUCUCUGAUUAUUUAUAAUUACGUUUUCGGUUUUUGUGUGUUUGUGUUGGUUGUUUUUGUGUGUUUCGUAGUUUCAGUGCAGCAGUGGCCGGUGGAUGCAUGGAGACACAGGUUUCCCUGAUCAGGGGCAACGAGAAGCUGCUCUUAAGCUCAAGCUCAGGCUUCUGCGGGCUGCCAGUUCGUGCCAGCCUAACAAGUGGUAUCCAGGUUCUUUAUUGUGUGCUUGUGUACUAUUGUCAAAGUUUUUUCCUGCGCAGUCUGCUUUACUUACCCUGUUUCUCUUUGUCGCCACAGUGAUCUCCAUGCUACCCUCAGCGCCUCCACCUCCAGCCUGCAACCCUUUCACUUUUGGGCAAUCUCAGUUGCUCGAACUCAACAAAACAACUCUGUUUGGAAUAAAACCUGAUCACUCUA